Molecule: long non-coding RNA, 633 nt
Filed under: Lynx canadensis (Canada lynx)
Lineage: Eukaryota; Metazoa; Chordata; Mammalia; Carnivora; Felidae
Description: lncRNA (ENSLCNG00005011071.1)
Source: RNAcentral
GUUGUUUUGUUUGGUUGGUUUGUGUUCUGUCACCUUUUUAGCACCCAGUUUCUGAAUCCUUUCUUCCAAUUUUUGGUUAUUAGCUUUUUGAGGUGGAAGGAUCCUCGCUCACAGCCUUUUCUCCCUGCAGCGCUUUCUUUCGAUGCAGAACGAGCCCCAGGCACCCCAGCAGGCCGCACGCUUCUCUUUCGCGGUGGAUGAGGUCGCCUGCAGAUCCAGGCUGGGCCUUAUGGGCUGCCCAGGCGGAGCGGGACUUCCCGGUCAUCGUCAUCCUCCGCUCCCCGCGCUCAGCCUGGCCCGAGCUCGGCUUCCCCAGCCCCUGUCCACCGCCCACCUGCUGAGGAGCAGCAGAGUGCUGUGUCACUCAGGAGUUGGGGACCCCUGACCCAGCCCAACCGCCCUCGUGCGCUGUGCAGAAAGGUAAGGUCAGUGCCGAAGAUCGUAUGAGCACCACGCGGUACGAGGCCAGUUCUUUGGGGUUUCUUUAUAGAGACUCCAUCUGUCAGACCACACACAGGGGGCUUCAAAUUCACGGUAUGCUCCCCAACACACCGUAACUGGGAGCAUCUAGAUACUGUACUCUGGUUUUCUCAUCUGGAAAAGACUAUGAGCUUGAAGGUACAUUUAACAAAA